This is an RNA transcript of Diceros bicornis minor, 1830 nucleotides long. It is a transcript of the gene named ral guanine nucleotide dissociation stimulator-like, with no coding region annotated. The record is from RefSeq and is a predicted model, not a curated record. The transcript is spliced from 8 exons. NCBI's taxonomy places the organism in Eukaryota, Metazoa, Chordata, Mammalia, Perissodactyla, Rhinocerotidae.
GCUGAAGAGGGGCAGCUGCCGACAGCCAGGUGCACACGCUGCAGGAGGAGCUGGACGAGCUGAAGGGAGGGGGCUCCCUGCCUUAGCAGCCUGCUGCCCCCCGCCGAGCGCCAGUUGCAGAGCUCCAGCCAGCAGCAGAAGCAGAGCAGUGGGCAGUGGUGGAGGUAGAGCUGGCUCCAGCUUCCUUGACACCACCCUCUCUAGCACUGGAGCCAGUGUCCCCUCGACCAGCAGUGUUGGAGCUGGAGCAAGGGCCGACAUCGGCUGCAGCAGGAGUGGGAGCUGCUGAGCUGGAGUCACCUGGACCAUCAUUUCUAGUGGGAAGUCCAUCUCCACCUGUGGCUAAGAAGCAUGAGAAGAAGCCCAACCUACGGCCUUCCCUCCUAAGCUGGUGGUGGAGCAGUUGACCGUGAUGGAUGCGGAGUGCGAGAUCCUGAAGAACUUCUCCUCGCCCCGCACUGUCAUCUCUUCUCUGCAGAAAACAUCCAUAUGCCACCUGAAGAACACAUGGAGGAAGUUUCCUGGGAGAGCUCUGAAAAAUUUAAAGAGAGCUAUAGCCAAGACGAGUCCUUGAACAGAGAACUGAUGACCAAGGGGAAUGAGAUCAACCUUGAGAAGAGGACUGAGGAGCAGCUGUGGCACUCCUUGCAGGGGAGGGGAAGGAGGUGGAAAUCAGAGACCCUCUGGGGAGAACAGUUUCUGGCUCCACCCCUUGUAUCUUACAUUGAGUGGAAGAUUUUGGUAGAAGUCGAGACCCAUCCAGUUGGCGCGUGGGUUGAAUGGAGGAUGGCAUCAAGGAAAACUUCUUGGAGGAGGGGCUGAUUAUUCCCAUUCUGAGAACAGGUCAAACACCAAGGGUAGAGGUCAUCAAAAGAUCAAGUCUAAUCUACCUACGGGUGUGGCAGCCUUAACUAUGGAUGUUCAAGCCAGACAUUGCCAGAAGAACUACAUCUCUUCACCCAUAGAAGAUGCAACCUACAGCUGAAGAGAAACAGAUACAACACCAAUAUCUUAUCCUCUCUGAAGCCAAACUGAGAGCCCCUGGAGUCAGAAGUUUCCAAGAAAAGAAAAAGUCAUCCAUCUUCGGAAGAGAGACAGUAGAGCACGGACUGUAGGAGAAAGCCCAGAGGAGCAAUGAAGACAAAGAAGACAUGACACCUGCAAAAAGUCAGUGGAGUAUUUCUACGUAACAAACCUUCCAGGUGAGUGACGGUCAGUAUCUUCCACUGAUCCAGCUCUCACAAUAAACCUAGAACAUGCCCAAGGUAAGCUGGAGGACUACGCCCCACUAGUCCAUUCCCUGCCCAGGGCCUGUUUGUGCAGGGUGACUGCCAUCAAGCAGACAAUGGACUCAGGAUGGAGCAUGUGCCUUUGGGGAGGCUGGUAGAGAGGGACAAAGUGGAACACCAGCUAAGUGCACACACCUGAGAGGUGGAGUUCCAGGAGGAGACUCAAAAUGUACCAAGAAACUGCGUGAAGGGAGCUACUCGACCUCUCUGAGCCUCAGUGUCCCCCCCUGUAAAAUGGGGAUGACAGGCCUACUUCACAGACCUGUUGGGGAAGAUACAUAAAAGUGCCUGUGACAGCCAGUGUCCAUAUUAUUAACAAAGCCGUCUCCGACUUCAGAAUAAUCAAUGAAAAGAAUAAUGUUGAUGAGACCAAAGACGAGAUGCUCAGCUUCAUAACAGCCCCAGCAGCAUGAGAGUGAGAGGAGCUCCGAGUAAGCAAGGUUCUUCACAGCUCCACUAGAGAGGAUGAACAUGGGCUACACCAGGAUAAGUGGCUGUUGUACAGUGACUCGUGUAGUGAGGGUGGGUCCCUAAAGACACU